GUGGGGAAUAUUGGACAAUGGGCGAAAGCCUGAUCCAGCAAUGCCGCGUGAGUGAUGAAGGCCUUAGGGUUGUAAAGCUCUUUUACCAGGGAUGAUAAUGACAGUACCUGGAGAAUAAGCUCCGGCUAACUCCGUGCCAGCAGCCGCGGUAAUACGGAGGGAGCUAGCGUCGUUCGGAAUUACUGGGCGUAAAGCGCACGUAGGCGGUUACUCAAGUCAGAGGUGAAAGCCCGGGGCUCAACCCCGGAACUGCCUUUGAAACUAGGUAACUAGAAUCUUGGAGAGGUCAGUGGAAUUCCGAGUGUAGAGGUGAAAUUCGUAGAUAUUCGGAAGAACACCAGUGGCGAAGGCGACUGACUGGACAAGUAUUGACGCUGAGGUGCGAAAGCGUGGGGAGCAAACAGGAUUAGAAACCCGAGUAGUCC
This 425-nucleotide ribosomal RNA is filed under the name uncultured bacterium. Its description in RNAcentral is "partial 16S ribosomal RNA". It matches the Rfam family "Bacterial small subunit ribosomal RNA", at positions 354 to 796 of the family's 1533-position model. The record is from RNAcentral.